AACGAACGCUGGCGGCAGGCCUAACACAUGCAAGUCGAGCGCCCAGCAAUGGGAGCGGCGGACGGGUGAGUAACGCGUGGGAAUUUUUCCUGGAGUACGGAACAACCGAGGGAACUUCGGCUAAUACCGUAUGAUGUCUAGCGACCAAAGAUUUAUCGCUCUGGGGUAAGCCCGCGUCAGAUUAGGUAGUUGGUGGGGUAACGGCCUACCAAGCCUGCGAUCUGUAGCUGGUCNGAGAGGACGAUCAGCCACACUGGGACUGAGACACGGCCCAGACUCCUACGGGAGGCAGCAGUGGGGAAUCUUGCGCAAUGGGCGAAAGCCUGACGCAGCCAUGCCGCGUGAGUGAAGAAGGUCUUAGAUUGUAAGCUCUUUCGCUCGUGACGAUGAUGACGGUAACGAGAGAAGAA
Molecule: ribosomal RNA, 410 nt
Filed under: uncultured bacterium
Lineage: Bacteria
Description: bacterial SSU rRNA
Rfam family: Bacterial small subunit ribosomal RNA
Source: RNAcentral